RNAcentral lists this transfer RNA (66 nucleotides) under Aulacophora indica. RNAcentral describes it as "tRNA-Asp". Lineage: Eukaryota; Metazoa; Arthropoda; Insecta; Coleoptera; Chrysomelidae. The record is from RNAcentral.
AAAAAUUUAGUUAAAUAAUAACAUUAGUUUGUCAAACUAAAAUUGUUUUAAUUAAGACAAUUUUUA